This 846-nucleotide ribosomal RNA is filed under the name Triticum aestivum (bread wheat). RNAcentral's name for it is "partial small subunit ribosomal RNA". The record is from RNAcentral. Lineage: Eukaryota; Viridiplantae; Streptophyta; Magnoliopsida; Poales; Poaceae.
AUGGGUACUGCAGGGGCCACGAGCGAGGUGGCCACCCUGAAGGAGGCCGUGUCCGCGGCUGAACGCAGUGCGGCCGCAGAACGGACAGAGCGAGAAAAGCAGGAGGCGCAGGUGGCGGCGGUUCGGCAAGAGCUCCAGGCUCUCAUGGAAAAGCAUGAGAGUUUGGAGCGUGACUCAAAGACUCGAGAGUCCGAGCUUGCCUCGGCUCUCGAAAGUGCCAAAGCCGCCAAGGCCGAGGCCCAUAAGUCCCUUCAGGAGAUUGAGUCGGUGAAGAAGAUAGCGGCGGGUAAGGCAUUUUUCAUGCAAAGCAAGGAUGAGAAUGUAAAUUACGUGUUACUUACCCGAAUUCGGAGCUCUCCAGGGGCGUUUGCAGAUCUGCCUCGCAGUGUGUCUGAUGCCGCCGCAUUCUACCGAGCCGAGGAGGGGAGCUCGACGGAGAAGGUCUUCUGGUCUCAGUACGCUGAGGCCGGCCAUCCGGUGCCCCCUAGCGACCAGCUGAAGCAGCUGGUCGAGCUCCACAAGGUAGCAGAGCAGGCCAUGAAGGGCCUCAUAGUCCGGCUGUGGCCUGGAGAGGCCAUGCCUGGGAGCUACUUCGGCCUCGUGCGGCGGUUGGUGGAUGCGUGCCCCUGGGUGGAGGUUGUCAAGCGCUCUGCCUGUAUUGAAGGUGCUCGUCGGGCCCUUGCCCGCGCAAAGGUGCAUUGGGGCAAGCUGGAUGUGAAGAAGCUAAUCACUGACGCGCCACCAGCGGGCAAGGAAUAUUGUACGCCCGAGAUGUACUAUAAGACUGUCCUGAAGGGUGCCCGCAAGAUUGCGGAUGAGUGCCCCAGGGAUGUAAUUAUUGAGUAA